UGACGGACUUCUGAAAAGGACAGGAAUAUGUAUGUUUACUUACAAUGAUCCACCCUAAAGGGCAUCAAUCAGAAGUCACAUUGUAAUAAGAUCCAGAAGUGUGCUCAGAUCAGAGCAGGGUACAGCUAACAACCAUAUCCUUUUGAUAGCAGUGUGACUAAGAGUUUAAUUUGGGAGCAGCCAUCACUUCAAAGGGAGAUUUCAUCCUCAGGACACAUCAGGAAGUGGCUGUGAUGGGCAGGCAGUAAGCAGUCACAGAGGGAACACCACAACUUCUAGCCCAGUGACUGGCACGAGACAUCAAAAAGACAGAGGUUGUCACUGUUUUCUUCCCACUUCAAGCCACAAAUCUGCCUUGAUGCCCUCAACACUGGAUAAGCUUCACUGUAGGAUAUCAACUUCUAUAG
Molecule: long non-coding RNA, 407 nt
Organism: Micropterus dolomieu (smallmouth bass)
Lineage: Eukaryota; Metazoa; Chordata; Actinopteri; Centrarchiformes; Centrarchidae
Exons: 3
Source: RefSeq, a predicted model, not a curated record